AGGAGGAGCCGCUGCUGCGGUACAACUUUAAGUUUCCCCGCUCCAUUUCCUCGUCUUCCCCCUCACUGUCCUGCCCUGAUCCGGCUCACCCUUCUCUGCGGGACGGUAAACUUACAGAAAGCCCCCGAAAUGUACCGGUAUAUCGGAGAGCUACUCACCCGGGGAGCGGGCAGUGUCCUGGCCUCGGGCUGCUCCGCCGCUGCUGCCGCCGCUGACUCGUCUCUCGCGGCUUCCGCGUCUCUGCUGCGGUACCGCAGCUACAGCCAGGCCGUGGACCGGGACGACGACCCCAACUUCUUCACCAUGGUGGAGGGCUUCUUCGACCAGGGAGCCGCUAUCGUGGAGGACAAGCUGGUGGAGGAUCUGAAGACCCGGGAGAGCCCCGAGCAGAAGAGAAAGAAGGUCCGCGGGAUCCUGCGGAUCAUCAAGCCGUGUAACCACGUCCUGAGCGUCAGCUUCCCCAUCAAGAGGGACAACGGAGAGUGGGAGGUGAUAGAGGGCUACCGGGCUCAGCACAGCCAGCACAGGACGCCCUGCAAGGGAGGGAUCCGUUACAGUACAGACGUGUCUGUGGACGAGGUGAAAGCUCUGGCCUCGCUGAUGACGUAUAAAUGUGCCGUCGUCGAUGUGCCGUUUGGUGGAGCCAAAGCCGGAGUGAAGAUCAACCCGAGGAAUUACUCUGACACUGAGCUGGAGAAAAUCACCCGGAGGUUCACGAUCGAACUCGCCAAGAAAGGCUUCAUCGGACCUGGUAUCGAUGUGCCUGCUCCGGACAUGAGCACCGGGGAGCGGGAGAUGUCCUGGAUCGCAGACACCUUCGCCACCACCAUGGGACACUACGACAUCAACGCUCACGCCUGCGUCACGGGGAAGCCCAUCAGUCAGGGAGGGAUCCACGGUCGCAUCUCCGCCACCGGACGAGGAGUUUUCCACGGCAUAGAGAACUUCAUCAACGAGGCGGCCUACAUGAGCCAGCUGGGCAUGUGUCCCGGCUUCCAGGACAAGACCUUCAUCAUCCAGGGUUUUGGUAACGUGGGUCUUCACUCCAUGAGAUAUCUUCAUCGCUUCGGAGCAAAGUGUGUCGGAGUCGGAGAAAUGGACGGAAACAUCUGGAACCCCAACGGCAUCGACCCCAAAGAGCUGGAGGACUACAAACUGUCCAAUGGGACCAUCGUUGGUUUCCCGAACUCGACGCCGUACGAAGGAAACAUCCUGGAGGCCGACUGUGACAUCCUGAUCCCAGCCGCCAGCGAGAAACAGCUGACCAAGAGCAACGCACACAAGAUCAAAGCCAAGAUCAUUGCAGAGGGAGCCAACGGUCCGACCACGCCUGAAGCCGACCGCAUCUUCCUGGAGAGAAACAUCAUGGUGAUCCCAGACAUGUACCUGAAUGCAGGAGGAGUGACAGUCUCGUACUUUGAGUGGUUGAAGAAUCUGAAUCACGUCAGUUACGGUCGACUCACCUUCAAAUAUGAGAGAGACUCGAACUACCACCUCCUCAUGUCGGUCCAGGAGAGUUUAGAGAGGAAGUUUGGGAAACAUGGCGGCGCCAUCCCUGUCGUCCCCACGUCUGAGUUCCAGGCCAGGAUCUCUGGAGCGUCUGAGAAGGACAUCGUUCACUCAGGUCUGGCCUUCACCAUGGAGCGCUCUGCCAGGCAAAUCAUGAGAACAGCCAACAAGUACAACCUGGGUCUCGACCUGAGGACAGCGGCGUACGUCAACGCCAUCGAGAAGGUCUUCAAGGUUUACAGCGAAGCCGGCCUCAUCUUCACGUAGACGCACCUCCAUCCACCUGUCGGUCUGUCACCUGUCUGUCUGUCACCUGUCUGUCUGUCUGUCUGUCUGUCUGUCACCUGUCUGUCUGUCUAUCUUCAUCGUCUCUACAGGACUUCUUCACUGACCUUUCGUUGAGGUUGUUCUUCUUCUCUCAUCUGUUUACGAUCAUCUUCUUCUUCUCUCCAUGAAUUGGAGUUGAACUCAGCAGCUUCCUGCUCGUCUCGACCUGAACAUGAAAUCAUCUGAACGCCUUAAACCACAGACACUGUCACAAGCUGCCUGCAUCACAUUAUGUGGACAGAAGUAUGUGGACACCCUCCUUCAUCCAUCCAUUAUUAGGCCAGUGUUUGUCCCCAUGAUUAUUGAUUAUUAAUGAAGGAAAACCAUGAAUCUUAGUUUUAUUCUGGUGAUUCACUGGAUGAUUUGAGGUGUUUUUUAUAGAAUCAGACAAAUUGAGAGAAAAUGAAUCAGUUUCACAUGUGAAUAUUUUCAGAUCUGAAGACGUCACCUUCCACUGUGGGAAAUCAUAAAGUCAAUGUUUCACCACAGCUGCAGCUGCCCUUCAUUUUCAGACAGUCACAGAUUAUUGGUUAUUGAUUAAUCAUUUAGUAAAUAGUAAAAACAUUUUCAGUUAAAUAUAGAAAAGCAGAAAAUGUUCACAUGUGAGCAGCUGGAACAAAAUGAUCAUUAGUUGAUUAUUAAAACUGUAGAUUUACACACAGUCACCAGUUUUUACUGGUUUUUACUGGUUUAGUUUGAAUCAUUUUGUAAAGGCCUGAAACAUUUAGAAUGAUCCAGUUAUUAUUUCACAAUAAAACAAAUCUUCACGUCAGAGAAGUUGAGAACAGAAAUGAACUCUAAUAAACUGAUUGUGAGUGUUAGCGGUGUCCACAUACUUCUGGCCACGUAUUCACUGUUUGUCUGUCUCCAGGUGAAGAGCUUGUAUAGAUAUUUUUUUUAUUAUAAUGCACAUGUGCCUCAGGACUUUAGCUUUAAUAUUUACCGCCUUUGGAGAAACGUCAUUAAAGGAGCGUUCCUGUGUUUUUCUGAUGAUGAUGAUGAUGAUGAUAAAACUUCAGUCAGCUGGUCUCACGUUACUUUAAGUUUAGCUGUAUAAAGUAUUUAAUAACUAUCAGGAUGUUUUAAACAAGUAGUUAAUUAGUCAACAAUCAAAAACAAUUUGUAUAUAAUAUUUGGAGACAUUUGAUUUUAUUCCAUGAUUCAUGUUGUUGAUGAUGAUCAUCUGUUUCUCACAGAGGGUCAGAGUCACAUGGCUCCGAUCCUCUUCCCUCCACUGACCUGUUUACAUCUGUUUACAUCUGUUUACAUCUGUUUACAGCUGUUUACAUCUGUUUACAGCUGUUUACAGCUGUUUACAGCUGUUAAUUAUGUUGUUGUUCAUCAGCUAUUUACAGGUCAUCAUCCGUCUGUUACAUGUUUACCUGCUGAUCAACAGGAACCAGAGAUUGCACAGUAAAAUGUUUCCUACUGACGCAACAAACAGCAGCAGGGUGGAAAUAAACCACUCUUCAUCUUCAUCUUCAUCAUCAUCAGUAAAAUAAAAACCUGGAACGAUCCUUUAACUGUCAUCUCCUCGUUUCGCUGCAGUCAACAGGAAGUUGACUUUAAAUAAAAACUCCUCAGUUUGUGUUUCCUCUGUUCAGACCGUGACACAGUUGUAGCUAAAUGCUAAAUGCUAAAGCUAAAGUUAAUCUAUGCAGUUAAACUGACAGGACUGUAGCUGCCCUGUGACCACUGACACAAUAGACUCUGCCUGAUGAGACCAGGUCUCACAGGGACCAGGUCUCACAGGGUCUGAGAGGGACCAGGUCUCACAGGGUCUUAGAGGGACCAGGUCUUAGAGGGACCGGAUCUUAGAGGGACCAGGUCUCACAGGGUCUCAGAGGGACCAGGUCUCACAGGGUCUGAGAGGGACCAGGUCUCACAGGGUCUCACAGGGUCUCAGAGGGACCAGGUCUCAGAGGGACCUGGUCUCAGAGGGACUGGGUGGAUCAGACAAACUCAAACUGACUGAACUGUGAUGAAGCUUUAAGUGACUGUCGGGCCCCUGGAUGAACAGCUGAGUCCUCCAGGGGCCACAGACCGUCCGCCCCCCGCCCCCCCGCUUCAGACUGCAGCUCAGACCACUCCGAGUCUCAACAUUUGUUUUUCUGCUGCGCUGCCACCAGAGAAAACCACCUGAGUCCUGAGUCCUCUGACCUCUGACCUCUGACCUCACUGCUGCAGUAACACAGGGACACAGUCAAACCAAGCUUGUGUCCUCCGCUCUGACUGAUGAGGAGUUUUUAAACCUUUUUGUUAAACUGAAAUAAAGAACACAGAAAGUCU
Molecule: RNA transcript, 4125 nt
Organism: Seriola dumerili (greater amberjack)
Lineage: Eukaryota; Metazoa; Chordata; Actinopteri; Carangiformes; Carangidae
Gene name: glutamate dehydrogenase, mitochondrial-like
Exons: 14
Source: RefSeq, a predicted model, not a curated record